RNAcentral lists this ribosomal RNA (498 nucleotides) under uncultured bacterium. RNAcentral describes it as "partial 16S ribosomal RNA". It matches the Rfam family "Bacterial small subunit ribosomal RNA", at positions 29 to 507 of the family's 1533-position model. The record is from RNAcentral.
AGCGAACGCUGGCGGCGUGCCUAACACAUGCAAGUCGAACGUGAAAAGGGAAACCUGAGUAAGUUGUCGUACGGGUGAGUAACGCGUAGGUCAUCUACCCCAGAAUCUGGAAUAACCUGCCGAAACGCGGGCUAAUACUGGAUACAGCGUGGGAACUCGUACGAGAGUUUUUCGGGAGAGGGAUCCCGCCAGGUCCUUCGUUCUUGGCUGCGCCUGCGUCUCAUUAGGUAGUUGGUAAGUUAACUGCUUACCAAGGCGAUGAUGCGUAGCUGGUCUGAGGGGAUGAGCAGCCAGACUGGAACUGAAACACGGUACAGACUCCUACAGGAGGCAGCAGUGGGGAAACUUGCGGAAUGGACGAAAGUCAGACGCAGACACGCCGAGUGAGUGAAGAAGGACUUCGGGUUGUAAAGCACUGUCGGAUGGGACGAACAUGUUCAUAGUGAAUAGCUAUGAGGAGUGACGGUACCAUGAAAGGAAGCACCGGCUAACUCCGUG